RNAcentral lists this ribosomal RNA (1441 nucleotides) under Enterobacter cloacae. Its description in RNAcentral is "bacterial SSU rRNA". It matches the Rfam family "Bacterial small subunit ribosomal RNA". Lineage: Bacteria; Pseudomonadati; Pseudomonadota; Gammaproteobacteria; Enterobacterales; Enterobacteriaceae. The record is from RNAcentral.
GGCAGGGGCGGCAGCUACACAUGCAAGUCGAACGGUAGCACAGAGAGCUUGCUCUCGGGUGACGAGUGGCGGACGGGUGAGUAAUGUCUGGGAAACUGCCUGAUGGAGGGGGAUAACUACUGGAAACGGUAGCUAAUACCGCAUAACGUCGCAAGACCAAAGAGGGGGACCUUCGGGCCUCUUGCCAUCAGAUGUGCCCAGAUGGGAUUAGCUAGUAGGUGGGGUAACGGCUCACCUAGGCGACGAUCCCUAGCUGGUCUGAGAGGAUGACCAGCCACACUGGAACUGAGACACGGUCCAGACUCCUACGGGAGGCAGCAGUGGGGAAUAUUGCACAAUGGGCGCAAGCCUGAUGCAGCCAUGCCGCGUGUAUGAAGAAGGCCUUCGGGUUGUAAAGUACUUUCAGCGGGGAGGAAGGUGUUGUGGUUAAUAACCGCAGCAAUUGACGUUACCCGCAGAAGAAGCACCGGCUAACUCCGUGCCAGCAGCCGCGGUAAUACGGAGGGUGCAAGCGUUAAUCGGAAUUACUGGGCGUAAAGCGCACGCAGGCGGUCUGUCAAGUCGGAUGUGAAAUCCCCGGGCUCAACCUGGGAACUGCAUUCGAAACUGGCAGGCUGGAGUCUUGUAGAGGGGGGUAGAAUUCCAGGUGUAGCGGUGAAAUGCGUAGAGAUCUGGAGGAAUACCGGUGGCGAAGGCGGCCCCCUGGACAAAGACUGACGCUCAGGUGCGAAAGCGUGGGGAGCAAACAGGAUUAGAUACCCUGGUAGUCCACGCCGUAAACGAUGUCGAUUUGGAGGUUGUGCCCUUGAGGCGUGGCUUCCGGAGCUAACGCGUUAAAUCGACCGCCUGGGGAGUACGGCCGCAAGGUUAAAACUCAAUGAAUUGACGGGGGCCCGCACAAGCGGUGGAGCAUGUGGUUUAAUUCGAUGCACGCGGAGAACCUUACCUGGUCUUGACAUCCACAGAACUUUCCAGAGAUGCAUUGGUGGCCUUCGGGAACUGGUGAGACAGGUGCUGCAUGGCUUGUCGUCAGCUCGUGGUUGUGUAAAUGGUGAUAAGUUCCCGCACCGACGCAAUCCGUUAUCUUUGUGCCAGCGUUAGGCCGGUAACCAAGGAACUGCAUGAUAACUUGAGAGUUGGAUGACGUCAGUCUCAUGGCUACGUACCGGCUACGACCAGGGCUACACACGUGCUACAAUGGCGCAUACAAAGAGAAGCGACCUCGCGAGAGCAAGCGGACCUCAUAAAGUGCGUCGUAGUCCGGAUUGGAGUCUGCAACUCGACUCCAUGAAGUCGGAAUCGCUAGUAAUCGUAGAUCAGAAUGCUACGGUGAAUACGUUCCCGGGCCUUGUACACACCGCCCGUCACACCAUGGGAGUGGGUUGCAAAAGAAGUAGGUAGCUUAACCUUCGGGAGGGCGCUACCACUUUAUCGUUCCCGA